Molecule: ribosomal RNA, 497 nt
Filed under: uncultured bacterium
Lineage: Bacteria
Description: partial 16S ribosomal RNA
Rfam family: Bacterial small subunit ribosomal RNA
Source: RNAcentral
GAUGAACGCUGGCGGCGUGCCUAAUACAUGCAAGUCGAGCGAACAGACGAGGAGCUUGCUCCUCUGACGUUAGCGGCGGACGGGUGAGUAACACGUGGAUAACCUACCUAUAAGACUGGGAUAACUUCGGGAAACCGGAGCUAAUACCGGAUAAUAUAUUGAACCGCAUGGUUCAAUAGUGAAAAACGGUUUUGCUGUCACUUAUAGAUGGAUCCGCGCCGCAUUAGCUAGUUGGUAAGGUAACGGCUUACCAAGGCAACGAUGCGUAGCCGACCUGAGAGGGGGAUCGCCCCACCGGGACCGGAGCCACGGUCCAGACUCCGAGGGGAGGCGGCAUGGGGGAUUCUCCCGAAUGGGGCAAAGGCCGAACGGGGCACCGCGGGGGGAGUAAUAAAGUUUUUCGGAUCUAAAACUUUUUUUAUGAGGAAAAAAAAAAUGUUUAAGUAACUAUGCCCGUCUGGAGGUUCCCUAACCAGAAACCCACGGCUACCUCCGUC